This 81-nucleotide transfer RNA is filed under the name Anaerolinea sp. Its description in RNAcentral is "tRNA-Leu". It matches the Rfam family "tRNA". Rfam says of the family: Transfer RNA (tRNA) molecules are approximately 80 nucleotides in length. Their secondary structure includes four short double-helical elements and three loops (D, anti-codon, and T loops). Further hydrogen bonds mediate the characteristic L-shaped molecular structure. tRNAs have two regions of fundamental functional importance: the anti-codon, which is responsible for specific mRNA codon recognition, and the 3' end, to which the tRNAs corresponding amino acid is attached (by aminoacyl-tRNA synthetases). tRNAs cope with the degeneracy of the genetic code in two manners: having more than one tRNA (with a specific anti-codon) for a particular amino acid; and 'wobble' base-pairing, i.e. permitting non-standard base-pairing at the 3rd anti-codon position. The record is from RNAcentral. Lineage: Bacteria; Bacillati; Chloroflexota; Anaerolineae; Anaerolineales; Anaerolineaceae. RNAcentral also lists the same sequence under 1 other name.
GGGGACGUGGCGGAAAUGGCAGACGCGCAUGACUUAGGAUCAUGUGGUAAUACCGUGGGGGUUCAAGUCCCCCCGUCCCCA